This 371-nucleotide long non-coding RNA is filed under the name Panicum hallii. RNAcentral's name for it is "long non-coding RNA (PHAL_LNC000876)". The record is from RNAcentral. Lineage: Eukaryota; Viridiplantae; Streptophyta; Magnoliopsida; Poales; Poaceae.
UCUCUGCUCUUCGGCAAAUCUGAAGGCAGUCAUGGCCACUGAAGGCUUCGAUCAUUUGAGUAGAAGUUGCCCCUCUGUUGUGAAGGAGCUCAUUGCCAUGCUCGGCUCCUAAAAUAAUUGGGCAGUGUUUUAGCAAUGUUGGUUCCUGGUUUCUAGAAUUCUGGUAGCCUUGCCAUUAUCGGAAUGGCUUUAUGAGUACAUGUAUCUUAAGGAGAUGCAAAAUUUAUGCCUUGUGUAGUGUCAUCUCUUUUUGGUCAGGUCAUGGCAUCGCUAUGCCGCUAUGGUCUUAGUUAUCCUGGAACAGAUUUGUUAUCAUCUAUCUCCAUCCAUUAGGUCCAGAACAAACAGUUACCUCUGCUUUACUGUUUUGC